Molecule: ribosomal RNA, 429 nt
Filed under: Bacillota bacterium
Lineage: Bacteria; Bacillati; Bacillota
Also listed under: 1 other name
Description: Firmicutes bacterium partial 16S ribosomal RNA
Rfam family: Bacterial small subunit ribosomal RNA
Source: RNAcentral
UGGGGAAUUUUUGACAAUGGGCGAAAGCCUGAUCCAGCAAUGCCGCGUGUGUGAAGAAGGCCUUCGGGUUGUAAAGCACUUUUGUCCGGAAAGAAAUGGCUCUGGUUAAUACCUGGGGUCGAUGACGGUACCGGAAGAAUAAGGACCGGCUAACUACGUGCCAGCAGCCGCGGUAAUACGUAGGGUCCAAGCGUUAAUCGGAAUUACUGGGCGUAAAGCGUGCGCAGGCGGUUGUGCAAGACCGAUGUGAAAUCCCCGAGCUUAACUUGGGAAUUGCAUUGGUGACUGCACGGCUAGAGUGUGUCAGAGGGGGGUAGAAUUCCACGUGUAGCAGUGAAAUGCGUAGAGAUGUGGAGGAAUACCGAUGGCGAAGGCAGCCCCCUGGGAUAACACUGACGCUCAUGCACGAAAGCGUGGGGAGCAAACAGG